UGUCGGGUCUGCUAGUGGUAGGCAUCCGCGCUCUGAACGCGGCAACCUUGGUUCGAAUCCAAGCCCGACAGCCA
RNAcentral lists this transfer RNA (74 nucleotides) under Candidatus Yanofskyibacteriota bacterium. RNAcentral describes it as "Candidatus Yanofskybacteria bacterium tRNA-Gln". It matches the Rfam family "tRNA". Rfam says of the family: Transfer RNA (tRNA) molecules are approximately 80 nucleotides in length. Lineage: Bacteria; Candidatus Yanofskyibacteriota. The record is from RNAcentral.